UGGAAACAGUGUGAAUCCAGCCAGGAAUGU
Molecule: non-coding RNA, 30 nt
Filed under: Mus musculus (house mouse)
Lineage: Eukaryota; Metazoa; Chordata; Mammalia; Rodentia; Muridae
Source: RNAcentral